Molecule: long non-coding RNA, 410 nt
Organism: Ostrea edulis (European flat oyster)
Lineage: Eukaryota; Metazoa; Mollusca; Bivalvia; Ostreida; Ostreidae
Exons: 2
Source: RefSeq, a predicted model, not a curated record
AUCGAGGACUCGCGGUAAACGUAGCCAUGCAGGAGACGAUUCAAGACAGUAGGACAGAUUUAGACAAAGUGCAGGAUUUUAAUGAAGACUCGCACCGGUACCCUGACAUGAACAUCUAAAUUUUUCGAGCCUUGAAACAAGCCUCGCUUAUGAUCAUGCCGAGUCAUAGCCGUGAUGGAAGUUGCCAGGAAACAACAGGUUAACUUGUCAUCAUAAAGUAAAUAGGCUUAUAACUCUGUCUACAUGUCUUCGCUUCCAAUAUCAUAGAACUUUAUAAAAUCGCCAUGCAGAAGUUGAAGACGGUAUUUAAAACUGUAUAAAAUGAAACAACAGAAUGAUAUGUUUAAUGUUUCUCUUUUAUAAAUUGAUGAAAUUCUUGUUUGUUUACAAAAUAAAAUCUGUAUAAAUAU